This 367-nucleotide ribosomal RNA is filed under the name uncultured bacterium. Its description in RNAcentral is "bacterial SSU rRNA". It matches the Rfam family "Bacterial small subunit ribosomal RNA", at positions 525 to 896 of the family's 1533-position model. The record is from RNAcentral.
ACGGAGGGUGCAAGCGUUGUCCGGAUUUAUUGGGUUUAAAGGGUGCGUAGGCGGUUUAUUAAGUCAGUGGUGAAAGACGGUCGCUCAACGAUUGCAGUGCCAUUGAUACUGGUAGACUUGAGUGGGAUUGAGGUAGCUGGAAUGGAUAGUGUAGCGGUGAAAUGCAUAGAUAUUAUCCAGAACACCAAUUGCGUAGGCAAGUUACUAAGUCUCAACUGACGCUGAGGCACGAAAGUGUGGGUAUCAAACAGGAUUAGAUACCCUGGUAGUCCACACUGUAAACGAUGAUAACUAACUGUUGGCUUUCGGGUCAGUGGUACAGAGAAAUCGUUAAGUUAUCCACCUGGGGAGUACGCCGGCAACGGUG